GACGAACGCUGGCGGCGUGCUUAACACAUGCAAGUCGAACGGAAAGGCCCUGCUUUUGUGGGGUGCUCGAGUGGCGAACGGGUGAGUAACACGUGAGUAACCUGCCCUUGACUUUGGGAUAACUUCAGGAAACUGGGGCUAAUACCGGAUAGGAGCUCCUGCUGCAUGGUGGGGGUUGGAAAGUUUCGGCGGUUGGGGAUGGACUCGCGGCUUAUCAGCUUGUUGGUGGGGUAGUGGCUUACCAAGGCUUUGACGGGUAGCCGGCCUGGGAGGGUGACCGGCAACAGUGGGACUGAGAUAAGGCCCGGACUACUACGGGAAGGAGGAGUGGGGAAGAGUACACAAGGGGAGGAAGCAUGAUGCAGCAACGCAGCGUGCGGGAUGACGGCCUUCGGGUUGUAAACCGCUUUCGCCUGUGACGAAGCGUGAGUGACGGUAAUGGGUAAAGAAGCACCGGCUAACUACGUG
This 468-nucleotide ribosomal RNA is filed under the name uncultured bacterium. RNAcentral describes it as "partial 16S ribosomal RNA". It matches the Rfam family "Bacterial small subunit ribosomal RNA", at positions 28 to 507 of the family's 1533-position model. The record is from RNAcentral.